RNAcentral lists this ribosomal RNA (97 nucleotides) under uncultured bacterium. RNAcentral describes it as "partial 16S ribosomal RNA". It matches the Rfam family "Bacterial small subunit ribosomal RNA", at positions 1386 to 1482 of the family's 1533-position model. The record is from RNAcentral.
CACACCGCCCGUCACACCAUGGGAGUUGGUUCUACCUGAAGACGGUGCGCUAACCGCAAGGAGGCAGCCGGCCACGGUAGGGUCAGCGACUGAGGUG